AAAGUGGCGCACGGGUGAGUAAUACAUGGGAACAUGCCCUUAGAUGGGGAAUAACGUUUGGAAACGAACGCUAAUACCGCAUAAUCUCGCGAGAGUAAAGGUGGCGCCGCAAGGGCUGCCGUCUAAGGAUUGGCCCAUGUCCCAUUAGCUAGUUGGCGGAGUAAUGGCCCACCAAGGCAACGAUGGGUAUGUGGUCUGAGAGGAUGAUCACACACACUGGAACUGAGACACGGUCCAGACUCCUACGGGAGGCAGCAGUAGGGAAUAUUGCACAAUGGGGGAAACCCUGAUGCAGCAACGCCGCGUGAGUGAAGAAGGCCCUUGGGUUGUAAAGCUCUUUAGCGAGGGAAGAAGGUAGAUACGGUGAAUAAUCGUGUUUGCUGACGGUACCUCGGGAAUAAGCACCGGCUAAUUUCGUGCCAGCAGCCGCGGUAAUACGAAAGGUGCAAGCGUUACUCGGAAUCACUGGGCGUAAAGCGCACGUAGGCGGACUUACAGGUCAAUUGUGAAAUACCUGGGCUCAACCCGGGAACUGCAGUUGAAACCGUUUGUCUUGAAUACCUGAGAGGGUGGGGGAAUACCUGGUGGAGAAGUGAAAUUCGUAGAGAUCAGGUGGAACACCGGAGGCGAAGGCGCCUGCCUGGCAGUGUAUUGACGCUGAGGUGCGAAAGUGCGGGGAGCAAACAGGAUUAGAUACCCUGGUAGUCCGCACCGUAAACGAUGGAUACUAGGCGUUCGGAGAGUUAACCCUCUGAGUGCCAAAGUUCACACAUUAAGUAUCCCGCCUGGGAAGUACGGUCGCAAGACUAAAACUCAAAGGAAUUGACGGGGGCCCGCACAAGCGGUGGAGUAUGUGGUUUAAUUCGAAGCAACGCGCAGAACCUUACCUGGCCUUGAC
This 898-nucleotide ribosomal RNA is filed under the name uncultured bacterium. Its description in RNAcentral is "bacterial SSU rRNA". It matches the Rfam family "Bacterial small subunit ribosomal RNA", at positions 92 to 985 of the family's 1533-position model. The record is from RNAcentral.